This 465-nucleotide ribosomal RNA is filed under the name uncultured bacterium. RNAcentral's name for it is "partial 16S ribosomal RNA". It matches the Rfam family "Bacterial small subunit ribosomal RNA", at positions 338 to 795 of the family's 1533-position model. The record is from RNAcentral.
CCUACGGGAGGCAGCAGUGGGGAAUAUUGCGCAAUGGGCGAAAGCCUGACGCAGCGACGCCGCGUGAGGGAUGAAGGUCUUCGGAUCGUAAACCUCUGUCAGCAGGGAAGAACGGUCACUGUGCUAAUCAGCAGUGAAUUGACGGUACCUGCAAAGGAAGCACCGGCUAACUCCGUGCCAGCAGCCGCGGUAAUACGGAGGGUGCGAGCGUUAAUCGGAAUUACUGGGCGUAAAGCGCUCGUAGGCGGUAUGUCAAGUCAAGGGUGAAAUCCCCGCGCUCAACGUGGGAACUGCCUUUGAAACUGGCAGACUGGAGUGUGUGAGAGGAAAGUGGAAUUCCAGGUGUAGGAGUGAAAUCCGUAGAUAUCUGGAGGAACAUCAGGGGCGAAGGCGACUAUCUGGCACAUAACUGACGCUGAGGAGCGAAAGCGUGGGUAGCAAACAGGAUUAGAUACCCUUGUAGUC